This 565-nucleotide ribosomal RNA is filed under the name Saccharomyces cerevisiae (brewer's yeast). RNAcentral's name for it is "partial large subunit ribosomal RNA". It matches the Rfam family "Eukaryotic large subunit ribosomal RNA", at positions 83 to 662 of the family's 3401-position model. Lineage: Eukaryota; Fungi; Ascomycota; Saccharomycetes; Saccharomycetales; Saccharomycetaceae. The record is from RNAcentral.
GUAACGGCGAGUGAAGCGGCAAAAGCUCAAAUUUGAAAUCUGGUACCUUCGGUGCCCGAGUUGUAAUUUGGAGAGGGCAACUUUGGGGCCGUUCCUUGUCUAUGUUCCUUGGAACAGGACGUCAUAGAGGGUGAGAAUCCCGUGUGGCGAGGAGUGCGGUUCUUUGUAAAGUGCCUUCGAAGAGUCGAGUUGUUUGGGAAUGCAGCUCUAAGUGGGUGGUAAAUUCCAUCUAAAGCUAAAUAUUGGCGAGAGACCGAUAGCGAACAAGUACAGUGAUGGAAAGAUGAAAAGAACUUUGAAAAGAGAGUGAAAAAGUACGUGAAAUUGUUGAAAGGGAAGGGCAUUUGAUCAGACAUGGUGUUUUGUGCCCUCUGCUCCUUGUGGGUAGGGGAAUCUCGCAUUUCACUGGGCCAGCAUCAGUUUUGGUGGCAGGAUAAAUCCAUAGGAAUGUAGCUUGCCUCGGUAAGUAUUAUAGCCUGUGGGAAUACUGCCAGCUGGGACUGAGGACUGCGACGUAAGUCAAGGAUGCUGGCAUAAUGGUUAUAUGCCGCCCGUCUUGAAACAC